UAACACGUGGGUAACCUGCCCUGAUGAUUGGGACAACCCGAGGAAACUCGGGCUAAUACCGAAUGUGCCCUCCGGCCAUAAGGCUACUGGGGAAAGGAAGCUUCGGCCUCCGCAUCGGGAUGGGCCCGCGGCCCAUUAGCUUGUUGGUGAGGUAACGGCUCACCAAGGCAAUGAUGGGUAGCUGGUCUGAGAGGACGAUCAGCCACACUGGGACUGAGACACGGCCCAG
RNAcentral lists this ribosomal RNA (229 nucleotides) under uncultured bacterium. Its description in RNAcentral is "partial 16S ribosomal RNA". It matches the Rfam family "Bacterial small subunit ribosomal RNA", at positions 111 to 334 of the family's 1533-position model. The record is from RNAcentral.